This 475-nucleotide ribosomal RNA is filed under the name uncultured bacterium. RNAcentral's name for it is "bacterial SSU rRNA". It matches the Rfam family "Bacterial small subunit ribosomal RNA", at positions 29 to 523 of the family's 1533-position model. The record is from RNAcentral.
AAUGAACGUUGGCGGCGUGGAUUAGGCAUGCAAGUCGAGCGAGAAGUUUUAAAAGAUACUUCGGUUGAUUUUUAAAAUGGACAGCGGCGAAAGGGAGAGUAACGAGUAGAUACGUACCCAGGGUUCGGGAUAGCCACGCGAAAGUGUGAGUAAUACCGAAUAAUGUCUCCGGACCAAAGAUUUAUCGCCCUUGGAGCGGUCUGCUUACUAUUAGGUUGUUGGUGGGGUAAUGGCCUACCAAGCCGAAGAUGGUUAGCGGGUGUGAGAGCAUGGCCCGUCUCACUGGGACUGAGACACUGCCCAGACACCUACGGGUGGCUGCAGUCGAGAAUCUUCCGCAAUGGACGAAAGUCUGACGGAGCGACGCCGCGUGAUGGAUGAAGGCCCUCGGGUUGUAAACAUCUGUCGUAGGGAGGAAAUUUUGACCGAUCCUAGGAGGAAGCACAGGCUAAGUUCGUGCCAGCCGCCGCGGUAA